GCCGGUGUAGCUUAGUGGCAAAGCAGGUGCUUCGUAAGCGCAAGAGCGACGGUCCGAUUCCGUCCACCGGCU
RNAcentral lists this transfer RNA (72 nucleotides) under bacterium. Its description in RNAcentral is "tRNA-Thr". It matches the Rfam family "tRNA". Rfam says of the family: Transfer RNA (tRNA) molecules are approximately 80 nucleotides in length. Their secondary structure includes four short double-helical elements and three loops (D, anti-codon, and T loops). Further hydrogen bonds mediate the characteristic L-shaped molecular structure. tRNAs have two regions of fundamental functional importance: the anti-codon, which is responsible for specific mRNA codon recognition, and the 3' end, to which the tRNAs corresponding amino acid is attached (by aminoacyl-tRNA synthetases). tRNAs cope with the degeneracy of the genetic code in two manners: having more than one tRNA (with a specific anti-codon) for a particular amino acid; and 'wobble' base-pairing, i.e. permitting non-standard base-pairing at the 3rd anti-codon position. The record is from RNAcentral.